AUUGAACGCUGGCGGCAGGCCUAACACAUGCAAGUCGAGCGGAUGAAGGGAGCUUGCUCCUGGAUUCAGCGGCGGACGGGUGAGUAAUGCCUAGGAAUCUGCCUGGUAGUGGGGGAUAACGUCCGGAAACGGGCGCUAAUACCGCAUACGUCCUGAGGGAGAAAGUGGGGGAUCUUCGGACCUCACGCUAUCAGAUGAGCCUAGGUCGGAUUAGCUAGUUGGUGGGGUAAAGGCCUACCAAGGCGACGAUCCGUAACUGGUCUGAGAGGAUGAUCAGUCACACUGGAACUGAGACACGGUCCAGACUCCUACGGGAGGCAGCAGUGGGGAAUAUUGGACAAUGGGCGAAAGCCUGAUCCAGCUAUGCCGCGUGUGUGAAGAAGGUCUUCGGACUGUAAAGCACUUUAAGUUGGGAGGAAGGGCAGUAAGUUAAUACCUUGCUGUUUUGACGUUACCAACAGAAUAAGCACCGGCUAACUUCGUG
Molecule: ribosomal RNA, 484 nt
Filed under: uncultured bacterium
Lineage: Bacteria
Description: partial 16S ribosomal RNA
Rfam family: Bacterial small subunit ribosomal RNA
Source: RNAcentral